This 1251-nucleotide long non-coding RNA is filed under the name Gadus morhua (Atlantic cod). RNAcentral describes it as "lncRNA (ENSGMOG00000035384.1)". Lineage: Eukaryota; Metazoa; Chordata; Actinopteri; Gadiformes; Gadidae. The record is from RNAcentral.
CAAUCCAAUCCAGGUGGAAAUGCUGAAAAAGGACCUGGAUCAUCAACGGAUAGAGGAGCUGAUGUCUGCCACAUUCUCCAAGCGCAGAAAGGAGAUCGUAGGGGAUCAACCUCUCAUCGGGGAUGUCAUGACCAGAUGGCCGGCCAUGUUCUGUGAGAGACAGGUAUCACAAUAAACAACUCGCCUGAGAUUAGUCACUUAAUCCAUGUUUGACCGGAAAUCAAUGUGUGAGCUUCCCUCCAGGAAGAGCUGGAUUACAUUUUUGCAUUGAGUCUUGCAGUUAGUAUAACUGAGUGGAUGAAAGCCUUUGACAAGACAACCUUAGCUUACCAAAUGGUGAAGCUCUUAACCUUUUUGUCUUUUUCUCAGGUUCGGGCGGAGUUCAAAAGAAUCGUAAGCACAGACCUUCUUGAGUCAUUCCUCAACGGACUUGAUGACCUGGUACCAAGACUGCUUGAAGUGUACGAAGCUGUGACCAAGUCGGGGAAGAAGCCUGCACUGAAAGCCAUUUUAGACUGUGUGAAGAAAGAUGUGAGUAGACGAGCUGAGAAUUCUAAAAUUGGGCACCAGGUGUUAUGUUUGCAAUAAAAUCUCAUCACUGCUUAUAUUUGUCUUGUAGAACACAAACGAAAGGAGAAGGACUGCUGCUCUACUGGGUCUGCCACACUACCUAUCCGAAGACCCAUCCGACAUCAUUAGGAUGUGUGAUGCCCAUGGUGAGAAUCUGGCUGCAGCCAUGAAGGGGAUGCAACUUGGCCUACUGAUAGGCUAUGAAGGUGACAACCAGGAUGCCUUUCCAGAGGUCUUCGAUGUGGCAGUUGUGGUUGAAGAAAACAUUGUGCUACACAACUUCAAGGAUGUGCCAUCCAGCUUCACCAUGCUUCUGGGGAUCAUCUACUGCGUUAACCUUGAGUAUCCACGAGCCAUGAAGUAUUCCUUUGAGUUCCUGCAGAAGGUAGUGAUGAAGAUCAAACCAGAUGAGGCCUCUGCCAGAGUCCACGGUGUCCGAAACAAGCUCCUGAGGUAUAAACUGUAAAGCAUGCCCCACUCGGGAAUGGAAUGGUAAUGCAAAAAAAAUGACGUGAUUUUGUGUUUUUGUUGUUUUACUGUUGUAGUGUACGUUCAUGCACGCAAAUGCCCAGAGUGGGAAACUAUUGUUGUAGUGUACGUUCAUGUUGUUUUACUGUUGCAGUGUACGUUCAUGCACGCAAAUGCCCAGAGUGGGAAACUACUGUUGUACUGUACAUUCAC